This is an RNA transcript of Stegastes partitus (bicolor damselfish), 3481 nucleotides long. It is a transcript of the gene named platelet-derived growth factor alpha polypeptide b, with no coding region annotated. The record is from RefSeq and is a predicted model, not a curated record. Lineage: Eukaryota; Metazoa; Chordata; Actinopteri; Pomacentridae. The transcript has 7 exons.
ACUCCAGAGUCCCGCACAGCUGAGGACCUGCUGCAGCACCGGGCUCUGGACACACUACACGGACAACUUUCUGCCUUGUGAUUUUCGGAGGGCAUCUGCUCUUUUGGAUUAUAUUCACUGACGACUGUUAGAAAAAAAAAAAAAAAAAGAGUCUUAAUCCUAAAUAACAUUCUCCCAAAAAGAAAAGGAGCCGCGCUUCUUCCCUGAUAUCUCCUUAAACUGGGCUUAAGUCUGAAGCCUGUUUUGUUUCAGAAGGUGAAGGACAAGUGCAAUGCUGGUCAGGCUGCUCUCUUGGGAUUGUCUCCCUUGCGCUUGAGGAACUAUGCCGAGCUGCAGCACAGGGCUCGUUCAGGAGGACGCACACUCAUGUGAAUAGCAAGAAGCGACGUCCAGCCUCGUCAGCCUUUCUACAGUUUCCAGCAAGUGCAGCACGGUGUCCCGACUGAGCCGCUGCGCUGCUCGGACACUCCGGUUUCUCUCCCCGAGGGGAUGGUUGUGGAUCCUGUGGGGCCAGGAGCGACGCUGAGGCUCCUACACGGCAGCACCUUUUUCGUGUCUGGGGUUAAUUCUAAAUUAAAGGGAAAUGAGAGCCGCACUUGGUUACUUCCUGCUGUGGACGACGUACCUGCUGCUGGUCACUGCUGAGGAAGUGGAGUUUCCCCAGGAGCUGAUAGACCGACUGUCCCACAGUGAGAUCCACAGCAUCAGCGACCUCCAGCGGCUACUGGAGAUUGACUCCGUAGGAACAGGAAACGAUGUCAUUGAGGAGGCGAAGUACCACAAGCACCACAACCACCACAAGAACUACUCUCGUCAUCACGGUUACUACAAUGACCUGAAGAGUUCUCAGCUACACAGCCGGCGCAAGAGGAGCAUCGUAGAGGAGGCUGUCCCGGCGGUGUGUAAGACACGGACGGUGAUCUAUGAGAUUCCCAGGAGCCAGGUGGAUCCCACGUCUGCCAACUUCCUGAUAUGGCCGCCCUGUGUGGAGGUGAAGCGCUGCACAGGCUGCUGCAACACCAGCAACAUGCGCUGCCACCCGUCCCGCAAGCACCACCGCACCGUUAAGGUAGCCAAGGUGGAGUACGUGAGGAGGAGGCCGAAGCUGAAAGAGGUCUUUGUGCGGCUAGAAGACCACCUGGAGUGUGUGUGCACAUCACAGCAUCACGUGGCGGAGCACUCAGAUGCAGAAACAGGCCACCGUAGGGCUAAAGGUAAAAAAAGGAAACCUAAAAAGCUAAGGCCCAGCAAGGAUUUAUUGGUGACAUAAUAAAGUUGGUGCUCAUUACCCAAAGUCCACUGGAGAGCUGUGAAGGGAACAGUGGAUGUGAGGUGAGACCAAUCAGAACAAGGGACUUCAGCGUGGGACGGACCUGAACAUAGAGGAGGCCACCAACAGGAGCCCUGCUCUGUCCUCUUCCCCACUGUUGUGCAACCUUCGUUUAAAAAAAACAAACUUUUCUGUAAAGUCGAGAGACUGAAAAAUAGACAACAGACAAAAAGCAAUAAGAUGCCAAAGGUGCUUUUUUUUUUUUAAAAAAAACAAACAAAAAAACAACAACAACAAACUACAAAACGAUAACCAGAGACUUCCUCUGUGGUUUUCCACAGACAACUGAACUGUGCCGCUUAUUAAGAAGAAACGAGGAGAUGCUGUGGAGCUCGGGCGGGGCAGACAGGCCGAAGGGAGAUGAUGAAAGGGAUACGUGUUGAACAUUUUUGACUGACUUUGUUUGAAUAAGACACACAGCAGAAAUGGCUGUUAAACAGUUGGAUCAAGCUUUCAUGGGAAUCCGAUUCAACAUUAGCGCCCUGCCCCGUUUAAAUGACUCAUGCACACAGAGGAAGGAAGACAGAGAGAUAUAGAAAUGACAGUGGAAAGAAAAAAUAGAGACGGACGGAGAGUCUCUGUGGAGCUUCAGACUUUUUGACUCAUUGGACGAUUGCUCUGAGUAAAGGGUUAAUCUUCUCUGAGACCCCUGGUUGUCUGUGACUUUGCCCACCUGUUAUGUACAGUUAAAUUUGAAAAAAGGAAGAUGCGCCGCUACUUACAAACUAUUUAUAUGUGUGGACGUUUGCUUUCUGUCUCCUCCAAUACAAAAGAAAGAACAAAAAAGGUGUUUUUAUUGAUAUUGCAGACAUGCAAGAGUUCUGUGUGGUCCGGUUCUCUGUAGCCAUCAGCAUCACAAUCUCAGUGUCAUUUUUUUUUUAGUUGUUGUUUUUCUUGUCAGCCAUGUUUCUUAUUAUAUUACAGUAUAUCUGAUUGAUGUCAAGUCUUGUAUAUGGUUUGGAUAUAUGUGUGCAAGGAGGAGAUGUGAGAGUCAGUACAGGCAGAUGCUUUAUUUUUGUUAUGAAAUAUAUUAUGCAUACUUAUAUUCAAGCAGGAAUUAUGUUUAUUUCUUUUGUUGUGGUUGAAUGUCUGUAUUUAAUCCAUUGGAAGAAAAUGAAAAAAUCUGGGAAAUGUUUGGCUUGGCUCGGACAUGGCGGCCUCAAAGUGAGAGGUAGCGUACUGUAGUUCAUGGUACAGUUGUGGCGACUGCCCAGUCCUUUGUGUGCAUAUCGGAGUGUGUGCAUCCCAAUCCCAUAAGCACUCAGACACACUAGAGCAAGCAUGGCUGAAUGAAGGGGGAUGGACGGGCUGCGUGUGCGUGCUUACACACAGUUUCUCUGCUACACGAGGCUAUUUUUCAUCCAUAUCUCUCCGACGUUGAUAAGGAAGAUGCCCGCCCAGUCUGCUUCACGAGCGCACACGUUGUGCCUGCAGAAGAGCAAAGUCCACCUUAAAGUCUGAAUGAGAGAGGAGAGCAAAUCGACAAGGGCAUGAAUGGGCUCCUUGUUUAUUCAGGCUUUACUCUUGUGUUGACAGGAGAACAAAUGUCUGAUCACUCCACCCUGUGUAGUUACACUUCAUGCAGCCUCGAACCAUCAGGACAGACAAUGAUCAGCUCUCUGAGGUGGAAACAGAACAGUGCACCGGUGGAACACUUACUUCCCGACCAGUCCGUGUGAUGAAUGUGCAACCAGGGCAACGUGGCGCAACAACAACGGCCCUCUUCCACCCUGUGUUAGAAUGAGGACGUUUGACUGGCGUUUUUCAAACAGACAAAGGUGAAAGAGUGCAAAGCGAAUCAAGCGAAAGUCACAUGAGAAAAGUUGAACGGAAACAUGGCUGUGUCAGCUCCUGCUGCGCUGUGGACAUCCCACCACACCCACAGCCCACCUGUGAAUUAUACACUGACUGGUGCUAUAUGUGUAAGGCUGAUGUUUCACCACUGUUCACAUCCACAUGUACGUCACUGUAAGAUAGUGUUCUCAGUAAAUCAGGGACCAUGUGUGGAGCUGUUUGAUUGGACAACGUGAUGCAUUAUGCUUUUAUUAAGCCUCUAUUACUUUUCCUUUGAGCUACCAUUGGAUAAAGACAGCAACAAUCAUAAUUUAUAUAUUUAUGUUUUCAACAAUAAAUAUAUUUCUGCUUAUGAAA